Molecule: ribosomal RNA, 492 nt
Filed under: uncultured bacterium
Lineage: Bacteria
Description: partial 16S ribosomal RNA
Rfam family: Bacterial small subunit ribosomal RNA
Source: RNAcentral
AUUGAACGCUGGCGGCAUGCUUUACACAUGCAAGUCGAACGGUAACAGGUUAAGCUGACGAGUGGCGAACGGGUGAGUAACGCAUCGGAACGUGCCCGGUCGUGGGGGAUAACGCUGCGAAAGCUGCGCUAAUACCGCAUACGAUCUGAGGAUGAAAGCGGGGACCGUAAGGCCUCGCGCGAUCGGAGCGGCCGAUGUCAGAUUAGGUAGUUGGUGGGGUAAAGGCUCACCAAGCCAACGAUCUGUAGCUGGUCUGAGAGGACGACCAGCCACACUGGGACUGAGACACGGCCCAGACUCCUACGGGAGGCAGCAGUGGGGAAUUUUGGACAAUGGGCGAAAGCCUGAUCCAGCAAUGCCGCGUGCAGGAAGAAGGCCUUCGGGUUGUAAACUGCUUUUGUACGGAGCGAAAAGGUCUCCUCUAAUACAGGGGGCUCAUGACGGUACCGUAAGAAUAAGCACCGGCUAACUACGUGCCAGCCGCCGCGGUAA